AAAAAAUUUUUUUUGAAUUAUGUUGUGUGGUGUUUUGUGUUUUGUUUUUUAAUUUAUGGGCUGUUUUUUUGUUUUGUUUUGUUUUGGUUUUUUGUAUCAGGGAUUGAAUUUAGGGGCACUUAACCACUGAGUCACAUCCCCAGCCAUUUUUUAUAUUUUAUUUAGAGACUAGGUCUCCCUGAGUUGCUUAGAGUCUCACUAAGUUGCUGAGGCUGGCUUUGAACUCAUCAUCCUCCUGCCUCAGGCUCCUGAGCCUGGGAUUAUAGGCAAGUGCCACCAUGCCCAGCCAUUUAUGGUCUGUUUUGAAAUGUAUGGGUUCAUUUACAAAUAAAUAAGAGUAAUUUAAGCUAUCUUUAAAUUGAUUUCUAGUUUAAUUCACCAUAAUCAGAGAUGUACUCUGAAUUAUUUUACAACUUCAACAUUUAAAAUUUUUUAGGCAGUUUUGAAAACAGUUCACCAUUCUCUUGUGGGUAGUGAGAAAAUAAUGCUGCAAUUUAUGUAUACAAUUCUGUCUACAGCAAUUAUAUCAAUUCAUGUUCAGAUUCCCUGUACUUUUACUGAAGUUUCGUUAUUUAUUUCUAUUAGAGGUUGAGAAAGAUGUGUUAAAAUCUAUUUCUUGUUUCAGUGCUGUCAAUUUUGGUUUACACAUUAAGAAACCAUGAUAUUAGGUAAAUACACAUUUUUAAUUAUUAAAACUUUCUUAAUUUCUGAUGACAUAAGACAUGUCAUUAGACAGCCUGUAUAUAUGUAAUUAUAUUUUAUACCUUAAGUACUACUUUCAUUAAAUUAGUCAUACUAAUUUUCUCUUGAUUUCCCAUGUUUUCUUUUUUAAUUUUUUUGUUAUUUUUAUUUACACAUGAUAGUAAAUUGGAUUUUGAUAUAUCAAACAUACAUAGAGUCUAACUUCCCAUUCUUCUUGUUGUACCUGAUGUUUAGUUAUACUGGUUGUAUAUUCAUAUAUGAACAUAGGGAAGUUAUGGCCGAUUCAUUUGACUGUCUUUCCUAUAAGUUAGAAUGAAUUGGUCAUAACUUUCCCAUUUAUUCUUAUAUUAAAUGUGUUUUUCUGGCAAACAGUACAUAGAAUUUUUCUUUACACAGUUUGACAAAUAUUUUUUAUUUGGAACAUUGAUUAUUUUUGCAAAUAAUAUUGCUAAAGUUUUUUUAUUGGCUUUACUAUUUUUUUAAAAUUUGUUGUACAUG
Molecule: long non-coding RNA, 1200 nt
Filed under: Marmota monax (woodchuck)
Lineage: Eukaryota; Metazoa; Chordata; Mammalia; Rodentia; Sciuridae
Source: RNAcentral